This is a long non-coding RNA of Neodiprion fabricii, 1372 nucleotides long. RefSeq lists it as uncharacterized. The record is from RefSeq and is a predicted model, not a curated record. The transcript is spliced from 6 exons. Lineage: Eukaryota; Metazoa; Arthropoda; Insecta; Hymenoptera; Diprionidae.
CAAAUCCAUCUAACUGAUCAACGCAAGUUGCACCGUUCUGACAAGGUUCAGAUGCGCAAUCGUCGAUCGUGUGCUGGCACUGUUUACCUGUGUAGCCAGGCUCGCAAGUGCAGGCCGGACCAGUCCAUCCUGGAUGACAGAUGCACUCGUGUCUGAAUAACUUGUCUAUGCAGAUACCGUUCAGGCAGGGAUUUCCUGAGCACAAAUCUAUCUUCUCGUGGCAACGUUUACCCGUGAAUCCUGGCGGGCAGUCGCACAUAAAGUCGGCAACCAGGCAGACAGUCGCACUUGAAUCUGCCCUGCUGAAGAGCCACACAAGUUGCCCCGUUGUUGCAGGGAUUUCCAUUAGCCGUGCAAGGAUUUAUCUGUAAAGGCUACUCACCUUCACAAGUUGGAACGUUGUUGAACUUCUGGUUGGGACCGCAGUCGAUUAUGUUGUUACCGGUCAGCUUGUAUCCUCUGUUACACUGAACACGAGCUUCGUCAGUGAAGAAAUAUUCCUUCGACAUGUCAACAAUGAAGCCAUUGUUGACAACGGGUAAUAUUGGGCACUGUGCACCUAGAAACAAAUGUCGAGAACCUUGAUGUAUGAAGAAAUUGGCAACUUCACGAAGAGUACAUUGAACAAUCAUUGUCAUCACUUACGGGAACAUAUUGGAACAUCGUCAGACCAGGUGCCAUUACUCAUGCAGAGGAUUACAGGAUGUCCGGUUCUAAUAUAACCUGGUUCGCACUCGAAUCUCACAAUUGUACCGUAACUGCGCCCGCCUCCGUUCAAUAUCGUCAUAUUCGCAUGUGGAGCUUCCGGCAGUGGAGCGCAUUGAGAAGCUGAGGUGCAUCGAGUGACACAAUUGAAUAGAGAAUCCUGUGGCACUGGUUUUCUCUGGCUCAAUUACCUGCAGGACAAGCUCGAGCUCGGCACAUAAAUGGCAACAAGGACUCGCACGUGGUCAACGCCCAGGAUUGCUGCUCGUCGGAGAUCGAAACGUCAACGCAUUCCCCGGACUGCGGAUUUGGCUGCUUUAGAGCCCAGAAACCUGAACACAGUUUGAAAGAUGAGCUACGAAUUUUUCCAUCUGUAGCAUCGGACAAUCAAGAUGUGAAUUACAAUUGCUCAAUCCUCUCUGCGAUUUCGGCGCGCAAUGAUCAAUGUCAAUGAUCCCAGUACCUGUGGAUGGCGGUAAGUAGCGAAUAUAUAUAUGAAAAGUAGUUCAUUCCCACUCAUCGGAUGAGUAAUAUUCCCGCGUUUUACAAUUCUAAGCAAAUUCUAUACAUGUACGUGAUGGAAAGAACUAUGGAAACAGAUACUCACGGCCGAAGUGUAAUUGUACCAUCGAUGAAUAACAAAAUCUACAGACCUUACACACGGUGU